GAUGAACGCUGGCGGCGUGCCUAAUACAUGCAAGUCGAGCGAACGGACGAGAAGCUUGCUUCUCUGAUGUUAGCGGCGGACGGGUGAGUAACACGUGGAUAACCUACCUAUAAGACUGGGAUAACUUCGGGAAACCGUAUCUAAUACCGGAUAAUAUUUUGAACCGCAUGGUUCAAAAGUGAAAGACGGUCUUGCUGUCACUUAUAGAUGGAUCCGCGCUGCAUUAGCUAGUUGGUAAGGUAACGGCUUACCAAGCCAACGAUGCAUAGCCGACCUGAGAGGGUGAUCGGCCACACUGGAACUGAGACACGGUCCAGACUCCUACGGGAGGCAGCAGUAGGGAAUCUUCCGCAAUGGGCGAAAGCCUGACGGAGCAACGCCGCGUGAGUGAUGAAGGUCUUCGGAUCGUAAAACUCUGUUAUUAGGGAAGAACAUAUGUGUAAGUAACUGUGCACAUCUUGACGGUACCUAAUCAGAAAGCCACGGCUAACUACGUG
RNAcentral lists this ribosomal RNA (497 nucleotides) under uncultured bacterium. Its description in RNAcentral is "partial 16S ribosomal RNA". It matches the Rfam family "Bacterial small subunit ribosomal RNA", at positions 28 to 507 of the family's 1533-position model. The record is from RNAcentral.